UCCAGGCAAAUCCGGAAAAUCAAGGCUGAGGCGUGACGACGAGGCACUACGGUGCUGAAGCAACAAAUGCCCUGCUUCCAGGAAAAGCCUCUAAGCAUCAGGUAACAUCAAAUCGUACCCCAAACCGACACAGGUGGUCAGGUAGAGAAUACCAAGGCGCUUGAGAGAACUCGGGUGAAGGAACUAGGCAAAAUGGUGCCGUAACUUCGGGAGAAGGCACGCUGACACGUAGGUGAAGUGAUUUACUCAUGGAGCUGAA
RNAcentral lists this ribosomal RNA (259 nucleotides) under Salmonella enterica subsp. enterica serovar Anatum. RNAcentral's name for it is "partial 23S ribosomal RNA". It matches the Rfam family "Bacterial large subunit ribosomal RNA", at positions 1531 to 1781 of the family's 2925-position model. The record is from RNAcentral. Lineage: Bacteria; Pseudomonadati; Pseudomonadota; Gammaproteobacteria; Enterobacterales; Enterobacteriaceae.